The sequence is a transfer RNA, 120 nucleotides long. It matches the Rfam family "tRNA". From Rfam's summary of the family: Transfer RNA (tRNA) molecules are approximately 80 nucleotides in length.
AAAGCGGUGGUUAAGGGUAAACACCGGUACCAUACAAGUUUUCGCAUUACCAGCCAGGUCAACGGAAACUUACUACAGGAACUUAUGCCGGAGAUAUCGGUUCGAAUCCGAUCCGCUUUA